GCUGGGUGUGGCAGCACACACCUGUAAUCCCUGCUAGUUGGCAGGCUGAGGCAGGAGGAGCACAAGUUUGAGGCCAGCCUCAGCAAUUUAGUGAGACUCUGUCUCAA
Molecule: small RNA, 107 nt
Filed under: Marmota monax (woodchuck)
Lineage: Eukaryota; Metazoa; Chordata; Mammalia; Rodentia; Sciuridae
Source: RNAcentral